This 761-nucleotide ribosomal RNA is filed under the name uncultured Streptococcus sp. Its description in RNAcentral is "bacterial SSU rRNA". It matches the Rfam family "Bacterial small subunit ribosomal RNA", at positions 28 to 776 of the family's 1533-position model. The record is from RNAcentral. Lineage: Bacteria; Bacillati; Bacillota; Bacilli; Lactobacillales; Streptococcaceae.
GACGAACGCGGCGGCGUGCCAAUACAUGCAAGUAGAAGAUGAAGGAAGGAGCAUGCUCUUCCGGAUGAGUUGCGAACGGGUGAGUAACGCGUAGGUAACCUGCCUGGUAGCGGGAGAUAACUAUUGGAAACGAUAGCUAAUACCGCAUAAUAGUAGAUAUCGCAUGAUAACUACUUGAAAGGUGCAAUUGCACCACUACCAGAAGGAUCUGCGUUGUAUUAGCUAGUUGGUGAGGUAACGGCUCACCAAGGCAACGAUACAUAGCCGACCUGAGAGGGUGAUCGGCCACACUGGGACUGAGACACGGCCCAGACUCCUACGGGAGGCAGCAGUAGGGAAUCUUCGGCAAUGGACGGAAGUCUGACCGAGCAACGCCGCGUGAGUGAAGAAGGUUUUCGGAUCGUAAAGCUCUGUUGUAAGAGAAGAACGAGUGUGAGAGUGGAAAGUUCACACUGUGACGGUAUCUUACCAGAAAGGGACGGCUAACUACGUGCCAGCAGCCGCGGUAAUACGUAGGUCCCGAGCGUUGUCCGGAUUUAUUGGGCGUAAAGCGAGCGCAGGCGGUUAGAUAAGUCUGAAGUUAAAGGCUGUGGCUUAACCAUAGUACGCUUUGGAAACUGUUUAACUUGAGUGCAAGAGGGGAGAGUGGAAUUCCAUGUGUAGCGGUGAAAUGCGUAGAUAUAUGGAGGAACACCGGUGGCGAAAGCGGCUCUCUGGCUUGUAACUGACGCUGAGGCUCGAAAGCGUGGGGAGCAAACAGG